Molecule: ribosomal RNA, 501 nt
Filed under: uncultured bacterium
Lineage: Bacteria
Description: partial 16S ribosomal RNA
Rfam family: Bacterial small subunit ribosomal RNA
Source: RNAcentral
AUUGAACGCUGGCGGCAGGCUUAGCACAUGCAAGUCGAGCGGAGAUGAGGUGCUUGCACCUUAUCUUAGCGGCGGACGGGUGAGUAAUGCUUAGGAAUCUGCCUAUUAGUGGGGGACAACAUUCCGAAAGGAAUGCUAAUACCGCAUACGUCCUACGGGAGAAAGCAGGGGAUCUUCGGACCUGUCGCUAAUAGAUGAGCCUAGGCCGGAUUAGCUAGUUGGUGGGGUAAAGGCCUACCAAGGCGACGAUCUGUAGCGGGUCUGAGAGGAUGGUCCGCCACACUGGGACUGAGACACGGCCCGGACUCCUACGGGAGGCAGCAGUGGGGAAUAUUGGACAAUGGGGGAAACCCUGAUCCAGCCAUGCCGCGUGUGUGAAGAAGGCCUUAUGGUUGUAAAGCACUUUAAGCGAGGAGGAGGCUACUGAGACUAAUACUCUUGGAUAGUGGACGUUACUCGCAGAAUAAGCACCGGCUAACUCUGUGCCAGCAGCCGCGGUAA